This 301-nucleotide ribosomal RNA is filed under the name uncultured bacterium. RNAcentral describes it as "partial 16S ribosomal RNA". It matches the Rfam family "Bacterial small subunit ribosomal RNA", at positions 509 to 807 of the family's 1533-position model. The record is from RNAcentral.
CAGCCGCCGCGGGAAUACGAAGGGUGCAAGCGUUACUCGGAAUUACUGGGCGUAAAGCGUGCGUAGGUGGUGGUUUAAGUCCGUUGUGAAAGCCCUGGGCUCAACCUGGGAAUUGCAGUGGAUACUGGAUCACUAGAGUGUGGUAGAGGAUAGUGGAAUUUCCGGUGUAGCAGUGAAAUGCGUAGAGAUCGGAAGGAACAUCUGUGGCGAAGGCGACUAUCUGGGCCAACACUGACACUGAGGCACGAAAGCGUGGGGAGCAAACAGGAUUAGAUACCCCGGUAGUCCCUGUCUCUUAUAC